UUAAGUUCAGCGGGUAUUCCUACCUGAUCCGAGGUCAACCAUUGAAAAUUGGGGGUUUCACGGCAGGUCACGAAGCUCUCCAAUGCGAGGUACAGUACUACGCAGGGGAUCGCGGUCGGGACCGCCACUACAUUUAGGGGACGGCCGCAGGGGAGCGGCCGAGCCCCAACACCAGUCACGCUCCCCGAAAGGAGGUUCCU
RNAcentral lists this unclassified non-coding RNA (200 nucleotides) under uncultured Hypocreales. RNAcentral's name for it is "sequence contains ITS2". The record is from RNAcentral. Lineage: Eukaryota; Fungi; Ascomycota; Sordariomycetes; Hypocreales.